AACUCAUCGCGACACGAACUCACGUUCUACCGAUGAUUUUGCCGAAAAACGUACCGAAAUCCCUCUGCCACUCAUCCACCACCUCCGGACUUCGAAGAUGGCAAUAGCAAUCAGCCAACAAGGCUUGGUGGGGUCUCUUGGGCAUUCAAAUGACCAACUUACGAAAACUGCAACAUAAAUCGCUUCCAAUCGACAAAUUUCUGCCAAACGACGUUGUGGGACCCCAUUACCUCUGUGCAACGGCUCCUG
RNAcentral lists this long non-coding RNA (249 nucleotides) under Ananas comosus (pineapple). RNAcentral's name for it is "long non-coding RNA (ACOM_LNC013693)". Lineage: Eukaryota; Viridiplantae; Streptophyta; Magnoliopsida; Poales; Bromeliaceae. The record is from RNAcentral.